CCGGCGCACGGCCGCCCGCAGCCCUGCACAGCCAAUCCGGCUGCGGAGGCCCCGGGGAGGCGAGGAGACAUUAUCAUUCUGCCCGGGAUGAAAAGAAUUGUUAUUCUCCGUUUACAAAAAUAUUUCUUGUCUUCUUGCACUUGGCAGUGGCUAGUAGCUGACGCCUGUCACGGGAUAAACUAGGGAGAUGCCCUGGGCGGGAUCUCUGAGAGCAGUAAGGAGCUGUGGGGUGGCACUUGCAGCAUCACCCGACAGAAAGGCACCCACCUCCUCCACCUUCUCGGUCUGUGUGGUGUCAGAAGGAACGGCCACACAUGCCUGACGACUUCCCAAGCCCUCAACCCCCAUCAGGUGCCUUCCUGACACCAAGCAGGAUUUCUACUUCUGCCUCCAACUCAACAGUGCUGCAGUUAUUCAGAGGCUGAGAUGACCAUUUUGGUUCUGAGGCCAUCAUUACACAGCCGUGAUGUAGAGGUGACCGUAUUGGCAGAGGCCUGAAGAACUGAUUGGGCACAAAAAGCACAAAAAAGCAGACUGGCAGGAGUUCAGCCAUAUGGUUGUGAUAAACACAGUUUCUUUCCCUGGUGCCACUGUCUCCCUAGGGUUGCUUUAUUUGGGUGGGUGAGUCAAUACUGAAAUCCUCUAUUGGAAGGAAGAAAUACAGAACAAGGAGGAACUUUCUUAAGCCAUCGCAUUUAAAAAAGAAGGCAAACAGCAUGUUACUUUGUAUAGCCUGCUCUCAAACUUGGAGAGAAAAAUUCAGAAAAAUGCAAAACCAUGAACUUUCAUUUCUCUCCACAGUUUCAUAAGGCAGUGAUAUCAUCCAACUUUUGUUGCAAUACUAACAGCCUGGUAUACAACAAAAUGUCAAGACCACUAGGAAAGUUGAAGCACAGAAGACAGCGUCCUCUUAUAAAUGGUGUUCUGUAGAUUGAGAUGCUAGGAUAGCAUCUGGCCUCAACAGCUAAAUGAGGUACAGCAGGGCAAGGCAAACCAGCUGCCAUGCUAGGCAGGGCUGAGCACUUCCGCACUUCUCUGAAAUUGAAGACAACCUUCCAAGGACGUUUGGGAAUACCAGCACUAUGCCACUACUUCAGCAGAGAAAGACUGCCCAAUGCUCACCUCCCUGAGAAGACAGGACAUGAGAAAACAACAUGGUCCACUUUUUGCUUUGCUAAGAUACAGCAGGAUUUUCCUGCAUGUGAGGAGGUAGUUUUAAAAAAGCAAGAAUAAUUUUUGUUUUUCAACCUCAGAACAGUUUUUUUUUUCUUGUUAUUCUUAAUAGAGCAGUUGCCAGACACAAAGUGAAAUAGGGAAAGGAGAAUUCAUCAGAUCCCCACUAAUGCAUUCUCUUAACAUGCAGUUAUUAAGUUAGUGGCUGCAAAAUGUAGAGAACCAGCCUCCUGCAACCACCUCCCUCCCAGAGGCUCUGGCAGAGGAAGAAGAGCCAGCAUUCCCAGCCUCCCCUUUUGAUGCAGCCUUCUGCAGAGUGUAGGUAGCACCUGUCGAAGCAAUCUAAGCCUAUCCUAUCCCAUGUGAGACAGAGGAGGAUUACUUCUCAUUCCAGGCAAGAGCUGUGAUUUGGCCGAAAGCCUUGUUUAAGCAAGUUUUGUGACUUUAUCAAGGCCACAUGGUGUUAUCAUUAACUGUGAGGUUAUCAGACUGUGCUUCCUUGAGCUAUAAGGCUGCAGCCAAGGUUAACAUACUUAGCUAGCUUGAGGUAAAUGCAGCACAGAUGCAGGAACUGACCACAGUUAUGCAAGCAAAAUACACUGACUUGUUUUUAAUUCCUUAACACAAGUCAUCACGUAGGAAGUGCCUAUCAGUUUAUUUCCAUUCACUUUCCUGUAAUAACACAUGGAAAACAAUUCAUUUGGGCUUUUAUUUCCUAUGUUUCCCCAUAAAAGCACAGUGGGCACGUAACUUUUUCUGCUUUUUUAUUUAUUUUUUCAAGCCAAACAGCUAGUCCGCCACAACAGGCAGAUAAUUGUCACCUGAAAACCUGAGCUAUGAAUCCUGAUGCUCAGGCUCACACUUGAGCUUGGCAAAGUUUCCAGCUGCUCAUAGCAAUGUGACAGAUUGAUGUGACAAUCAGUGCAAUCACAAUGUACAAGCUACUCAUCCUGCAGUUAGUCUUCAGAGGACAGACUUUGAAGCCUUUUUGGGUACUCUCUUGACUUUGACCAAGCUAUCACCCCAAUGCAAAUACGUUAUUUGGCCUUAAGAAGGGAGGAUGAUGCCAAAGAAGUGGAAGGAUAAAAUAUGGCAGUUAGACCAGUGACAAGAGCUGCAAGAAGAUCUCUAGCACCACAAGUUCCAGAAUUCCCACAGGCAAAGGAGAGCAGGUGACUAAGGUAUCCAAUUCACCUUACAGCUACUGCAUUAGAGGAUAGGGGAAGGGGGAAAUAAAUAAAAGAACUUCCUGAACUGCAGCUCACACAAGCACAUCUUUAAGUGAAUAAUCAGAUACAUCUUAGAUUAGAUACAGAAGGCAACAAGACCCUGCCCAGUGGAUUAAUUAUGAAAUGACUAACCCAGAAGAUCCACAGUCUAGCCAAAACUUGCCUGGGACAGCAGCAAAGCAGAAGAGGGGCCAGAGACCCAGCAGGCUGGUCUGUUCUGCCUGUGCAGGUCUCCACACACCCAAGAGUGAGUGUCUGAAAGAAGAGCUGCCUUCACUUUUCACUCCCUCCCUCUGAAAUGGAAGAUGCAUGUACAAUUGAAGCCAGUCUUCCAAAAGAUACUGUUUCAUGGAGACAAAAGUCUGGUUACCAGUAUAAUGUCAAAAUCAUACAAAUUGGGCUAAAAACGUACAGCUCUGUCCUCCUAAGUGUUUAGGGACUGCUAUUCUGCACGUGCAAUAACUUUACAAAGCAGUAUUGCAUUCAGGGAUUUCAUGAAAUGUCACGUAGAUAUUUAAAUUUUAUGGUGAACUUUCGUGGAAUACCUUAUCAUCAUUAGCUGUGUAAGACACAUGCAUGCACAUAAUUUCCAGUGAUCACAUUUCCCAUUGAGACUUUCAGCUUAAGUAAUCAAGGCAGACACCGUUUGCCACAGUCCAUGUAGAUCAACUAAUUUAAAGAGAGAGCUUGCUGCAGCUUGAGUCAUGCAAAACCUAAGAUGUAUUCCAUAAAUUAUCUAAUGCUACUGUGAAUGCAGUCGUUGUGCAGCUUCCAGCACCAGCAGAGGCACUAUCCAUUUAACAUUACACUAUGGGAUGCAAAUUUAAACAUGCAGCUGCCUCUCAUAGUUACUCCUGCCAACCAAGCAAGGCUGUUCAGCAAUGUGCCUGCAGCACGGUGUUGUGAUGCAGGUGCUCUCUGCUUCUUCCUGCCCCAUCCACACCUCCAACUGAGCCUUUUAACUAGCUCCUCUGACAAUCACACCGAUUUAGUUAUUUUUUAAAUGCUGGGAUUUAACACUGAUAGCACUAGACAGCACUAGUAACUUUACAGAACUGGGAAGUGAUUUCAGUAAGAGACCGGGAAUGUAGGUUGCUAGUCCAGCUGUUGAACUGUCUGAAUACACAGAUCAGUUUUGCUUUUGUUUCUAAGCAAGUGUUUGUGAUCUUCUGAUGAAAAGCACUGUAGAAGUUUCUAAAAAUACCAUGUUGCCAAACAGCCUUUCCCCUUUCUCUUCCAAUCUCUUUAGGCUGCUUUUUGUCAUCAGCCUGCAAAAUUACACAAAUCAGUCAGCCCAGUCCUACUUAAAUGAUUCAUAAAUCCAAUUAUGUCCGCUUCUUUAUAUAGCGAGCUAGGCCCUAACAGACUCAACCUUCAGGAUUAGAGGAUGUGUAGGUAGCUGACCUCUGACUCUCUAACUGCUCAGGGCAUAUAUAUGGUUCAAACACACAGUUCUACACUGCAGCGAAGGCACAUGAACGGUACAGUAAUCUUAAUCUGUCUUGGAGGGACUGGAAAAGCCACAGAUGCUGUCUUCACAGCUGUUACUGUGUGCAGAUGUAAAUCCAAUGGAGGACCACCAAGAUGGUGGGGACUGGAGCACUGACCCUGCAGCAGGAGGGUUGUUCAGCCUGGAGAAAGGAUAGCUGCAGGGGAACCUAACAGCAGCUCAUCAACAUUUAUAAGAGAAGACCAAGGAGAUGCAAGACAGUGUCUUAAUGUAGUGCACAGCAGGAGAACGGGAGUGUGGACAAAUGCUCAAACAAAAGAGGUGCAGAAUGGAUGUAAGGAGAACUACUUUUUUCUUUUUUUCCCCAUGGAAACAGCCAAGUCAAGGAUCCAGAGAAGCUCUGCUGUCUCUGACCUUGGAGCUUUCUGAACCCUAGCUGGGUAAAGGCCCAAGCAACCCAGUGACCUUGGGAUGGUGAAGAGGCUGGGCUAGAAACCUCCUCAGGUUCCUUUCCACAUGAAUGAUUCCAUCAUUCCUGAGCUACCACAUGACUCAAGUGCUAGUGCCAGCUUAAAGCAGGGCACCACAUUCAUCGUCUUGUCCCUUGUCUCUGCUUCCAAAGUACAGCUUGUGAUACAAUGCAAAAAGAUUUUGAUAUGCAGCUUGUAGGGUCUGUAACAUUGCCCUGUAAGGAUGCACAAACAUACGUGCUUUCCAUAUCUAAAAGCAGUAAUUCCCAGUUUGUUAAUUUAGAAAGCAAAGGUUUCCCUGUAAGAAACACAGCCCAGCAUAAACAUAUCCAAGAAUUCACAUCUAUUUUUUCUGAGGUAAUAACCAGCACAAACCUCUUUAUGGCUCACCUGACCACAUCCUUUCACCUUUAGAAGGGAUUUUAUUUCUUUUUUAAUACAACCUAGACAUUCAGAUUGAGAUAUUUCACAAAAGAUGUUGUUAGAUUUGGAGUGUGAAGCCGCACACUUCUAGGCUAAUUAAUUUCGUAUUCGCAGAAGUAGAGAAAAGUAUAUUGUGACAGAUGUUAUAUGAUGAACAACUUAGGAAGAGCACUCCAGAAAUUAAUAGUAGGAAAGACCGUAACAUAUGGCAUAUUUUCCUCAAUAGUUUUGAAUCUUUUUGGUCAUCAAGUCUACUAGAUCUCACACAAAGAUUUCAGAGGUUUGUCCUGCUGAAAAGAAGCAAGACACUGCUUGUUUCAUGCUGCUACAUCUUUGCAAAGAAUGUGUGAAUUAGUAUAUAGAUUAACAUAAAGAUAGGUAGCAUCUCUAUGCCUUUUCCCUUUAUUUUUUGAUAAACAAAAUAAAAAACAAAACAGCACCACAAGAACAAGCUGAGGUGUUUGAUAACCAGCAGUAAGAAAAAAUGAUAGUGGAGAGAAUAAAGAAAUACAGCCUCUAUCUAUCCUAAACAUGUUUAUUCUAAGUACAUCUGCAAUGUUUUAAACUGCACGGCAGUACCUUGAAAAGUACAUUGAUAACCAAAUGUAAUAGUGGGACAUAAUUUAGAAUGUGAGACAGGGAUUUAGCAAGGACUCUACCUGAAAUCUUUUCUCCCAUGAUAAAGUCAAUUCACCAGCAGAGUAAGUAAAAUUAAAACACCUUCCUCUAGCACACACACUUCCACAUCUAUUAGUUUUAUAAGCUAUAAAAGUUUAUUUUAGAAAAAAAGUAUUUUAAACAAAUCCCAACAAGUUUGUACUAUUUUUCUCCUCAAAUAUCAUACAGAAGUCAUUAUCAGCACUCGAAAGGACCUCUUCCUCACACUGAACUUGUUCAUUUUAUGCAAGAUCGAUACGUGCACAAUCUGGUUGAAUAUUUAUUUUGCUUAUAUCUCAGUCAUUCCUCUCUCCUUUGUGUUUCUUCACUGCUCCUUGAAAAGCAGUGAAACAAUCUUCUGCUUUUAGCAAUUUAUUUGCCCUCCCUCCCUACAAGCCAAGCCCUUACAACAUCAAAAACUUUACCACGAUAAUCAAUUCUUACAAAUUAAUUAAGAUAGCAUAGUAAAGAAAAGCAAAGAUCCCAUCCUCAUGGAGAUCAUUGCACUUAUUUAGAACAUACAAAAGAAUACGGAUAAUGCACAAAAUGUAACAUAUGCAGAACAUUCUUUUGCUUUUUUCCUAAUACAGAGGUUAAUUUAAAAAACAAAGCUCCAGAUAGCAGUUCUUCAGCCAAGUUAGUCCUUCAGAGCACUAAAACUCUGCUUCAAAGUUCUGACCCUGCCUAUCUUAUUUAUACUGGCAAUCUUCCUGCUGAAGAGUUCGUUAAGAAACAAAACAGUUCUGCAGCCUUAUUCAGUAAUAGCAGGGCCCCAGCUUAGGGUACUCUACCUACUUCUGGGUGCUCCUUUUCAGGAAAGAUUGAAAUUGGCUGCUCAGAGUGCGGGGGAGAAUAGAGAGCUGAGCCAUCAGAGAGAAAGCAGAUGGACACAGUCACCUUAAUCAUUCACUUGCCAGUCUCACAGUUCUUGGUAGGUCUCAAACUGGGUGGCUGGACAUAACUUCUGAAGCACCUUUUUCUAGUGCAUAAGUGACCCUGGAAUUCUUCUCUGAGUUGGGCUUGCUAGCAUCCAAAUUCCCUGAUGUAAGGUUUGCAUACCACACAACACGAAGGUUUUUCAUCUUGAGGAAGUAUUGCUAGAGAAGUCUCUUAGAGAGCCCAACUGGGACGUUGGGGCCUAUCUACACUUCACUGUCAUUAUCACAUAUUUUCUGCCACACAGAUUCCUAUGAAAACAGGGCUUGCUUGCUUGUUAUUUUACAUAAUGAUAUCUUAUUUUUUUCUUGGUCUUUCUAUCUUCAGAGCCUUAUUAGCUUUGGUUAAAUAUCAGGGUUGCUCCGAAAAUACUGCCUCCUGUUUGAUUAUGUAGGACCACAAUGUCAGAGGUGGAUGUAGGUGGUAUGGCAGUGGAGGUUGGCCUUUCCCACCAGCAUUCCAUUACAUGUUGUUGAGUGUGACAGAUGGCAGCAGAGGGGCACUCUGACAGAAUAAUGUCUGACACAGAAGUGCAGAUGAGGCAAAAGUCUGUCACUGAAUUCCUCCAUGCAGAAAAAAAUGGCACCCAUUACAUUCAUUGACACUUGCUGAAUGUCUAUGGAGACCAAACAGUGGAUGUAAGCACAGUGAAGCAGUGGACAAGACAAACCAUAUUGUGGCCAUGCAGAUUUUUAUGAGCAUGGCAUGCAGGCUCUUGCUCAUUGCCGGCAAAAACGCAUGGCUGAUGGUGGUGAUUAUGUUGAAAAAUAGUGUUUUGUAUUUACUCCAUCAAACAGUGUUAUCUUGUUCUUUGUGUAGUUUCCAUGGUAAUAAAUAGAAGGCAUAAUUUUCAAAGCAGCCUAUGUAAAUCAAAAUUAGACAGGGUAACUGAUGUCCACAUCUCCAAAUGCUAAACCACCUAUAGCUAACCAUCUCUCAACAAUGAAAGGUAAGUCAAUUUUUAGUUUUGCAAUACCAGCAUAAAGAUCAUUAGCUCUCUUAAAAUUGUUAUCUGCUAAUGACUUAGAAAGAACAAAGCAUGCUGUUCACAUUCUCUCUGAAAGCACUUGAGAAAAGGUUUCAAUUGCAAGGUUAAGACACCAAAAGGAUUAUAUUUACCUUAAUGAUGUACUAUACAAAAAUAUGCAGCAAAACAACUCUCUCCGUGUGUGGCUAUUUUGUUUCUCAGGACUCAGUACUGAGUCACUAAGCAAUUCCCAUUAAUACUACCCUUUGUGCUCAAAGUAAUUUAUUUAUUCCCAAACACAUGCUGAAUAUUUAUAUUUGCUGAAGACACCACCAUAGAGUAAAUCCAUUCUUCACCAAUGUUUAGCAAAGAGACAAACUAGCCCAGGCCUGUGCAUGAUUAUUUGCAUAAUUUUAGCACAGUGUUCAGUUCACUGCACAAGGCUGUCCUCUUCAGUCCUGUUAUACAUCAUCAAGUUCUCAGUAAAUGUGACUUAGAAUGAACACAUGCAAUAGAGAAAUCCAGAAGAACUAGUUCUGUUUCAGUGUAUUACUCUGUUGAUGGCAGCUUCAUAAAACCUUUUAAAAACAUAGCUAAAAGAAUGAACAGUAUAAACAGCACACAACAAAAAAACAUCGUUUCAAACUAAUGAGUGGUUCUAGCCAACAUAACUUGACCAGUACCUUGUGAGGAAUGUUGAUUUUUGAGAGCUUUGGUCUGUUUGCAGUGAAAUACUUUGGGCGUGACGUAUAGCUGUGCUCCCAGUUCCACUCACAAGGAGACGGCAGGGCAGUAGUUUGUUCCCUGAAAAACAAAGUCUCAUUUUAGUUAUGUACAGUCACAAGAGAGUGAUUGAAAGCCUGGGACAUCUAGGUCCUUAAGAUAAAGAAGAUAUAAAAUGUGUUUUCCUGGUUAGUUUGGCAUGCUUUAGCUUCACUAGCAGUCAGGUUGAAACAGUCCUCAAAUAAAGGAGAUAUCCACCAAUAUACACACUUGCAACAGCACUACAAACUUGAAGUCAAGCACUGUCCCUCAUCAAGCAACCACACAGACCUGCACAUAAGGAACAAGGCAUUUUUUGCAAGCAGAACAAGGUACAGACAAGAAGCACGUUAAUUUUCCAUUUGUUGCUCUUGUACUCCCCACAAGGCAUUUUGGCUUUUAAUUUCGACUUAGUCUGAUUGUACAGUUAAACUAGUAACAGCAUUCUAUCUUGAUCAUAACCUCAGUAGGAACAAAUACAUGUAUUUCAGUUACUUCAACUGCUAAUUUAACAGCUCCACCUGCCAGCUGCAACCGCACUGCCUGCUCCUUCCCUGCUUAGGACUGCUUAGCAGGCCUCCAUUAACAUCCCUUUGCACAAGCAGUAUUUUCACUGCCAUUCAGCAUCUCUGUUAGAGUGCUCCUUCUCUCCCCACCCCUUGUCGUAGCCCUUCAUUAUCUUAUGUAGGAGAGCAGAAAAAUGAAUGGUUUGACUACAGUGAAGGGCAAACUCUUAACAGAAACACAAAAUCAAUGGUUAGAAUAUUUGCCCCCUCACUACCUCGAUUGUCUCAAAGGGCAGCUUUCCAAAGUGUCCCCCUUUCAAAGAUACAGUCAGACUUCCCUAGAGAAGUAGUGCAAGCAUGGUGGUUGAUUGGUUGACUUUUUUUUUUUUCUUUACAUAGUUUCUAUGGGGUUUUUAGGUUAAUAAUCCCUAGCUACUUCUGGAUAGCAGGAAAGCCACAAGAAAGAAACACUGAAAUCAUUCUGCAGAACUUCCCCAAAUAUCUACAAGCCUACCUACUUUAUUGAUGUGUUUUGCCUCGCUCUUCCCACGCGUACAAUCAAAAUGAGCUUCCAAGUUCAAAAAAGGACGCUUUAAACUUCUCUGAAUCUUUUUAAAAACACAUUCGGUCUCAUUAACUUCUUGAAAGCCUCACAAGUGCAAGCACCUGCGCAGUUCAUGCUGUGAAGAUAAAAUGUAAUUUUCCCUCUCUGCUGACUAUUCCAGCACGAAAGCACUUUUCUCAAAAAUCAAACACUACUUUUUUUAACAAGGUAGGAUUUCUGAAGUCACAGAACAAAACAGUGCUUAAUAUGGACUUCUAUUAUCAACAAAGAGCAACAAGAUAUACAUAUACAAACAUCAACUUCAGUAUUACAGUCCUCAUAGUUCAGGCUGUAUGCAGAAUACUACUCUUUUGGAAGCGGCAGAAAAGUUUCACAAGGAAGCUGAAACCACAUCACCAUUAAUGUCAUAAUCUGACACCAUGCAAGGAUGUCAAAAAUUAUGAAAAUCCACCUGUCACAGAAAUCACAUCACUAUUCCAAGUAAAAAUGGAAAUAGGAAAACAUAUUUUCUAAUGCCCUUGAUAUGGAAAUGCAAAUAAUUGCCUUAGCAAAAUAAUACAUUUUCCUUUCACAACUUUCAGGUAAUAGUAUUGGAGUUGGUACCAUACUCUAAUGCUAAUUUUUAUCUCAGGAAAUAAUUAAGGGCAGAAAAGGAAGAAAUUAGGAAUGCACCUGAAUUUGCACAGUGAGCAGUCAUCAGACGGGGACCUCUACACCUAACAUUCAGUAUUAGCUUUUGGAAACUGUUUUAUGAUGUAAAUUUACACACACACACACACACACGUUUAAAAUGCUUAUUUUGACAUUUUCCUGAUGUGAACCUGACAGAAGUUGAGUGAUAAGCUGAUGUUAACAAACUGGUUAUUGAUUUGCUUAUUCCUGUUGCACAGAAUAAGCUGUCCGUAACUAUGAGAAGAUCAGUGUUUCUUUUCUCUCUUGAACUUAUUUUACACUGCAGCAAUUAUUGGUUACCAGUCCUUAGCUCCCUGAAACGUUCAAUGAAAAGCAGGAUCCCUACCUUAAUACAAUGACAACAGCUUUUCCGCUUUUGUGAAGCAGCCAGAAUAGCAAAUCCAGAUGUAAUCCAAAUACAUCUUAAACAGCUUGGAAUUCCAAGUGUAUGCAACAAUUGUAUCAACUAAAUCUCUGUGAAAGGAGGGAGAUGCCUGAUUAAGAACACAGGAAGCGGUCUCUUUUAUACUGAUACUCAGUGCUAGAUGAAAACUAAGCAUCCACAUGCUUGAGUCACACAACAAAAAAAUAAUGGAAGCUGCAGUUAGCUGGUUUCAUUUUUGGACUGCUUGUUUCAAGCUGCAUCUCUGGCCAAACAAGCCUCCCUGAAAACAAAGAGGAAUUCGGCAAGAAUAUACCAGCGCUUUCCAAUGCAAUUCCUCAUUGCAUGAAGAGCAAUCAUACAAGCCUUUUGUCAACAUAUAAAGAGCAGCUGCAAAAUUCAAAGAGAUUGGCUUGUAGAUAACAUACUCAAACAAUCAAAGGAAGUCACAGUCUAGGACACUACACUGUGCUAUGUCCAAAUACACUGUGCUAAGAAUCCCUUUUAACAGGCAAAGUUUAGAAACAGCAACAACAACCCCAACUACUCUUCAGUACAGUAUCAGAAACAUAGGAAGAACUUGCAGAAUUAAUGCUGGAGACAGACUGCACUGAAGGUACGAAAAAAAGAUUACCUGUUUGAAAAACACACUUCUUUCCUAACGAAAGGUUUUCAAAUUGCAAGUAUUUCUCCUCAGCACCAAGAAAACAUUGGAAGUGAUAUCUAAACUGCCCAAAAAUGGCAUGGAAAAACUUUCCCUUACUCGGCUUGUGACGGAAUUAAGAAAGCUGAAGACUCCAUCAGGACACCUACUAGUCAUUCUGUUGUACCUCACACAAUGCCAGAAGCCACUUAGUAUAACAAAACUGUUUAAGCUAUGAGGUAGGUGGCCCCAGGUAGUACCUACAAAGGUGGAGAUGAUGCAGAAGUUGAAAUAAUAAUGAUGUGUCAGAAACACUGCAGCACCUUCAAACCACAGUAGACUUACCUGAUUACAGAAAGACCAACUAAGGAACUGCUUUAAUGCCAUUCAGACCCCAACAUGGUGAAUAUAAAUCUUUAAUAUAUAAUUUUACGUACAUUACUACACAGGUGCCUAAUAUUUAUAUGGAAAUACUAAAAGAACAGGUGGGACAGGAGGUCCUUCUAAAGCCUUAAGCUACAACUCCUGUACAUAGUAUAGCUUAGUUAUUCUCUAUUAUUACUGGGCACAUCUGUAUUUCUGUUGGGGUGACUUCAUAUCGCACUUAUAAACUUCUAAGACGAAACACAUAAUUUUUCAUUAUUUAUAUUGUAAAAGAUUCAGCUCAGUGACAACUUCUUUGUAUAACAAUUGCCAGGUCCUUUGCUACUUACACUCCUGCAUUACCCACACUUAGUGUUAAACAUUUAGUGUUAAACAAAUGUGUAGGUUAUGUUCACACAAACACACACACACACACACACACACACAGAAACAGAACUACUGCUAACUAACACUAAUAGGCAACCUGUGGGACUGGUCCUGGAAGAGCAAAACAAAAUUAAGUGUUUCUUAAAUUGAAGGAGUACCACUACAAAUAACCAGCAGAGGGAAACUUUCAGUUUUCACCUACCUAGUUGCUUGCUUACUUAUAAGGAAUACAGAGUGAAAGUCUGCAGAGUACUAAGAAAAGUAAUUAACACAUGAAACACGCAGAAAUUAAAUUAAGAAAUGAAUUGCUUCUGCAGGUCCAAAAAAGCACUUAACUACAACAACAAACAUCUGUAUAGAAAGUAUUAAGAAGCUUAAGAAAGUGAAGUACUACUAGAAGUCUUUAAGCACAGCUGACGUCAUUAAGCUUGCAUACAUCUUAACUUCUGAUAGCACUGGAGGUCUACUGCAAAAGCAGUACUAACCAGGACAAGAUAGGAAGUAGGCAGUUUUUUUUGAUAAUUCUACUUUGCUGAGAACCUUCUAACUGCAAUAGUCUAUGUUAAUGCCCAAUUUUACUAAAUAUAAAAAUGUUUUGAUAAAAUCCAAUCUUCCUUCAGUUUUGUUAUCAACAUUGUUAUCACUACAAUUUCUUCCCAAAACUUUCGGUUCUUCUUUCUGUUCUCUGUAGUGCUUUUUUAACCUUAAAGUUUUCCCUCAUAGAUCUAAAGAACAGAUCUUUCUUAGAAAAGUUUCCCCAAAGUGCUUUUCACAUAUAGUGUCCUAAGCAAAGUCUGAAAACCAUUCAGUGCACCUCUAGUCUACCUUCUGUUUCUCUAGGGAAAGACGAAUUAUUCUAACUGAGCACGUGCCCUGCAUCUAGCCUCGUCCAGACAGAUCACAACCAAACUCAUGCAAGAAGCAUAAAUUACAUAAAUUCCAAGGACUGCUUCUGGCUAUCUAGAGCCAGUAAGGGCUGACACAGUUUAUCAACUUCCUUCAACUUUAUUUGAAACAGGAAUUCAAAGCUACUAUAGUACACCCAUUGUUAACAAAGGUCUACUUUUGCAGAGCAAACAAAAGAUACUUUCACCCAUUGUGUCCUGCUGAGGAAUGUCAUCCACUCCCCUUCUUCCAACUUUGUACUGUUCCAGGAAGAAAUAAUGAGUUUUAUUGAAAGGACACAACACAAUGUUCCUAACUGGGUACAUACAUACAAGUGAGCAAACUUCAUCUAAGAACUAAGCUGUUAAAAAUAAGGAUUUAUAUCAGCUUUAUGAACUUGUGGCCCUCAGCCACAACAGGUAUGAUCAAGAAGCCACCUAGAAGUUCAGCUAAAAAGAUUACCUGGUUACUCAAUAUAUUUGCACGCUGCCAACCUUCUCCCCAUGGAUUCCACACUCACUGCUACUCAGUUCACAAGAUUAAGAAUACCCAGUAACACAUAUUUCUAACAAAUGGAUAUAGCGCAGUGUGUCAACAUAUCAAGGCUUGGAACAUUUGCCACAGUCUUAUCAAGAUAGACUACCUAUAGGGAAAGAGGACCUGUGAAAACUGUUAGGUUCUCCUAAAUUUGUUUCAAGUCUUCCAUUCUCUUCUGUGCUUCCUGAGUUGAAACCAAAAAGUCUGGGGGGAGUGAUUUCAACCUUUCAAGAGCAAUUCAGAAGUCAGCACAUUUUCAUUCACACUCUAAAAAUUUUAGACUCAGCUGCUGUGGAAAGCAAGAUGUGUUUCAGGGAGAGGGGAAAAAAUGACAAAAAUUCCUUUCUGCACUGAAGAAACAUUUGUAAGAUCAAAGCAAAAGCUUCCUUUGAUUCUAACCCUUGACAGAUGAAAACAGGAGUCAUACUCUCUUAACAGGGUAUAGAGCAUGCUUCUUGUAGAAACUGAUGACAGAAGCAUGGUCACAUCUUCAGCCACUUCAGACUCAAUUCCAAAAGAGACCACAACUGCCCAGUGUAGAAAAAAAAUUACUUUCAGUCUUUGGAAAGUGAGAAUCCUUCUUUCCUCAUCUCUCAACAACAAAAAUCUCUCCUACACCUACAGAGCAAAGAAUUCCGUCUUGGAGCGAGCAAAAAAAAUCAAAGGUCUUCUCCUACACGUUUAUUCUUGUGUGAGGAGAAUAAAAACAGCUGACAAUCGUUAACCUGCAGAGCACAUGUGUUUUGUUUGGACCAUACGGACAAGAGCAGUAUGGGAAACAAUCAGUGCCUAUAUAAAGCUACAAACAGUCUUGAGGCAAAGGAGCAUCAAGGUUCGGAUUUUGGGGAGUGAGGGGGCAAUUUCACAGAAAGAGGAGGGCUCGGAAACUUCUUUCACACAGCUUCGGUGAUUGAAACUGCUUUUGGCCCCUCCCUAGAGAGCAUCCCUCGCCCGAACAGCCCAUAUGUUCCGGGAGAUUCUCAGAAUCAGCUUAUACAGAGUUGUGCUAAGGAGGCUAGAGACACCAGUGGUCAAAUCUGCUGGCUAUUAAGCAGAGCUAGAUGAUGAAGCAGAUGUUAGAACUGAGAGAGCAAGCUGGACUACAGACAGUCUUGCUGUCAACAGCGACAUUCAGGGGAGAUUUAUCGUUUUUCUCUAGUAAUUUCCCUCAAAAAAAAAAAAAUAGGCUGAACAAACACAAGCAGCUUUGGUCAACACGGUCAGGAACUACUGAGCUCAGUUUAUCAGCACAGCGGUGGCUGAUGUUACAGAAUUAGUUUGGUGUGACAGAAUAAUAACGGAAAGAUUUAGUGAGAAGUGUCACUGAGCCAAUGUGAGGAAAAACAUAAGUCCAAAAUACCUGACCUCGUGCAUCGCUCAAUGGAAGCACAGCCACCCCCAAGCUGUGAUCCUGCAUCUGCUAUUUCAUGCGUAUGGAGACCACACGUGAGACAAGAUGCAUACUGGUAAGAAACAAAUUUCUCAGAAGCAGCUCUUAAUUGGUGGGGCAAAAGAUGCAAUGACAACGGAACAGAAAGGAACAAUCGGAACAAAACGAGGUUGUCAGAUAGGCUUCUGCCUUUUUCUUCACAUGCUUCUUACUGACCCCAAUAUCACAUCACGCAGCAUUUUUGCCUCAUGAUGUUAUACAUGUGGAAAUACAGCCCUAAUGAGUUUCAUCCUCCCCACAGCUCCAGAUUAGGAACUGCUGUUAUCUCUGUAGUUCCGACACUCCGAUACACAAUGACAACCUGACCUAAAUUCAGGAAGCCUUGGGUAGCUCGUGUUUCCUAAAACAAAACAUGCAGCUCAUGAAUAUACAGCAGGGUAGAUGGAAUACAAGAUAACAGACAGAGCUCCCACAGCUCCCCGAUUCUCCAAGCGCAGAUCAUAAACACUGUAAGUAAAUUCACAGCUGCAAGAGAGUCAUCUAAUGCCGGACAGAAAGGAGUCGGCACACUCUGCGUCCUCACUCGAAACAGAAACCUAACCCGAUUUAAAACAAAAACACUAAAAAACAACCCAAGUGUAACAGCUUAAGUAGUGAAGUGAGCUGCAGUGGUCCUCACAGCUGCGCAAAGCUGCUCCAUUCCCACACUACGAGCAGUGCCUGCGUUAAUUAUGCAACAUCUAAAACAAACGUAACCUCAGCUUUGACUGUUAAAUGCAGGCUUUGUUUUGGAAACAAACAAGUAAAUAAAAUAAAUAAAUUGCAGCAAGCAAUAAAUCGUGAUUUAUCUAUUCACCAAAACAAACAAACAAACAAAAAAAACCAAAAACCACCAAAAAACUUCCUAAAGCAUGACGUAGCUGUAGGGAUAGCCUCAGUACUGGUAAAAAACCACUGUUAAUGGACAAGAGGAAGCUCUGCAGAGUCCGGGGACAAGAAGCAAGCAUGUGUUAGAAGGCAGAACAUGUAUGAAUUCAGACAGUUGAGAAGAGCACACCAGGGUUCCACAGCUCUGUUCUGACAAAAGCAUUAGGGACAGAAAUCCAAGUAGAAGCGGAAGACUUAAAUGCAUCCCUGGGAAUUCCCAAACAAUUCAAAGUAUGUGGCCAUGGGGCUGAAACCAAACCUUCACUGUGACAGAUGACGCGAACCGACGUCACUGUGGCCAUGAAAACCACCAACACCCACUGUGGUGUGGCCGCCCUUCGGGCAGCUUCCCUCUCCCAGGCAUUCCCCACUACGAAGCAAGACCCACGUUAGAACACAGACCUAGAAACCAUCCCCUGCAGCCUCACUGCCACACAUGUUUGCUUGGCAAUUCAAUGGUCUCAUUUGUGAGAAGCCCUCUGAAGUUGGCAGUUCCCUGUAAUUUGCUGGUUAGGAUUCACAGGCCUUAUCGCAGCUGAUAUCAGUGAUCAGUGUCUGUUUAAUGCAUUCUUUUCCCCUUCCCCUCCUCCCUCCCCCCCCCCCCCCCUCCCCCAAUAAAUGCAUGUUUUCAUACCUGUUU
Long non-coding RNA from Gallus gallus (chicken), 15964 nucleotides. RefSeq lists it as uncharacterized. NCBI's taxonomy places the organism in Eukaryota, Metazoa, Chordata, Aves, Galliformes, Phasianidae. The transcript has 3 exons. The record is from RefSeq and is a predicted model, not a curated record.